RNAcentral lists this long non-coding RNA (1536 nucleotides) under Salmo salar (Atlantic salmon). RNAcentral describes it as "lncRNA (ENSSSAG00000096307.1)". Lineage: Eukaryota; Metazoa; Chordata; Actinopteri; Salmoniformes; Salmonidae. The record is from RNAcentral.
CUGACCACCACAGACCACCACAGACCCCUACAGACCCCUACAGACCCCUACAGACCACUACUGACCACUACAGACCACGACAGACCACGACAGGCCCCUACAGACCACAACUGACCACCACUGACCACUACAGCUAGAACUGUCCACUACUGACCUCUACAGACCACCACAGACCACUACUCACCACUACUGACCACUACAGACCACCACAGCUAGAACCGCCCACUACUGACCACUACAGACCACUACAGACCACAACUGACCACUACAGACCACUACAGCUAGAACCGCCCACUACAGACCACUACAGACCACUACAGACCACUACAGCUAGAACCGCCCACUACAGACCACUACAGACGACUACAGACCACCACAGCUAGAACCGCCCACUACAGACCACUACAGACCACUACAGACCACUACAGACCACUGCAGACCACUACAGACCACUACAGACCACUACAGACCAGAACCGCCCACUACAGACCACUACAGACCACUACAGAACCCUACAGACCACUACAGACCACUGCAGACCCCUACAGACCACUACAGACCACUACAGACCACUACAGACCACUACAGACCACCACAGACCACUACAGACCACUACAGACCACUACAGACCAGAACCGCCCACUACAGACCACUACAGACCCCUACAGACCACUACAGACCACUACAGACCACUACAGACCACUACAGACCACUACAGACCACCACAGCUCCAGUGUAUGAGUCAGUUCAACCAUUUCCUUCAGCACCUCUCCGCUCCAGUAUAUGUGUAUUAUCUAAGAGGAACUUCCAUCCUCAGGGAAGCCUCAGGGAAGCCAAAGCUGGAUGACGGGAGGCCGUCCGGAGACAGAGAGGCAGGCAGCCAAGGGACAGGGGGAGAGGACAGUGGAGACAGAGAGGCAGGAUGCCAGCGGACAGGGGGAGAGGACAGUGGAGACAGAGAGGCAGGAUGCCAGCGGACAGGGGGAGAGGACAGUGGAGACAGAGAGGCAGGCAGCCAAGGGACAGGGGGAGAGGACAGUGGAGACAGAGAGGCAGGAUGCCAGCGGACAGGCGGAGAGGACAGUGGAGACAAAGGGGGAAGCCAGGCAGGCAGGGAUAGAGGACAGGACAAAUCCAGCCAGCCAGGCAGGAGGAGAGGACAGGACAGGUAUAGGAGAGGACAGGACGGAUAUAGAGAGCCAGUCAGCCAGACAGGAGGAGAGGACAGGACAGGUAUAGGAGAGGACAGGACAGGACAAAUCCAGCCAGCCAGGCAGGAGGAGAGGACAGGACAGAUAUAGGAGAGGACAGGACGGAUAUAGAGGGACCGGCAGGCAGGAGGAGAGGACAGGACAGAUAUAGGAGAGGACAGGACAGGUAUAGAGGGACCGGCAGGCAGGAGGAGAGGACAGGACAGAUAUAGGAGAGGACAGGACGGGUAUAGAGGGACCGGCAGGCAGGAGGAGAGGACAGGACAGAUAUAGGAGAGGACAGGACGGAUAUGGAGAGCCAGCCAGCCAGGCAGGAGGAGAGGAC